UCUGGCUUUGGUGCCCGUGGCCCCGGUCCCCGCCACGGCCAACAGAGCCCGUGGCCAUCCAGUGAGCUGAUCCGUCUUCGGGGGCGGGAAUGAGGGCAUCGUUGCGAGCUGCACGUCUACGAACACAGCCACCAACCAGUGGUUCAUCCCGGCCGUGCGGGGCGACAUCCCUCCCGGUUGCGCCGCCUACGGCUUCGUGUGUGACGGCACCCGGCUGCUGGUCUUCGGGGGCAUGGUGGAGUACGGCAAGUACAGCAGCGACCUCUACGAGCUGCAGCCAGCCGCUGGGAGUGAAGAGACUCAAGGCCAAAUGACUCCUAAGAAACUGCCACCACCCUUGCCCCUCUCGGCCAACCACUUCUCGCUUGUGGCCAACAAUG
Non-coding RNA from Chelonoidis abingdonii (Abingdon island giant tortoise), 380 nucleotides. The record is from RefSeq and is a predicted model, not a curated record. NCBI's taxonomy places the organism in Eukaryota, Metazoa, Chordata, Testudines, Testudinidae.